Molecule: non-coding RNA, 117 nt
Filed under: Pan paniscus (pygmy chimpanzee)
Lineage: Eukaryota; Metazoa; Chordata; Mammalia; Primates; Hominidae
Also listed under: 1 other name
Source: Rfam by way of RNAcentral
GCUGGGUGCAGUGGCUCACACCUGUAAUCCAAGCACUGUGGGAGGCUGAGACAGGAGAAUCGCUUGAGGCCAGGAGUUCAAGACCAGCCUGGGCAACAUAGCGAGAUCCUGUCUCUA